RNAcentral lists this long non-coding RNA (2219 nucleotides) under Nicotiana tabacum (common tobacco). Its description in RNAcentral is "long non-coding RNA (NTAB_LNC003410)". Lineage: Eukaryota; Viridiplantae; Streptophyta; Magnoliopsida; Solanales; Solanaceae. The record is from RNAcentral.
ACAUAAUAUCAAAGCGGCAUUUAGCAUAUUAGGAUCAAACACGUAAAAAUCAGAUAAUAAGCAAAAGCAAAGUAUCACAGUUAUUCUAAAAUCGAAUUAUGAACCAUGAACCAGAGAUUCUGGGUUUGAUUCUCCCAGCAGAGUAGCCAGAUCUGGCACACCUCAUUUUUCCCGAGGGGUAGGGAGUUUUUUCAAUUAAUGUAUCAUUGUUCGAAAUGAGAUUAUUUAUUGAUUCAGAGUCGCCACUUGAAAUAAUUUAUGGUGUUUCAAAUCACCGAUUUAUUUUAAAUACCAAAUCGAGGAAAUUUGACUCUUAUUUAUGGUCUGCGAAUACAGAAGACCGAGUAAGGAAUCUUGUAAACCCGGGAGAAGGUGUGAGGCACUCCCGAGUUCCGUGAUUUUAGCACGGUCGCUCAACUAUUAUUAAUUGGCCUAAUUAUCUAAAUUAUUAUAUGGUCAGAACCUAUUGUGUAUUUUUAACUUUCUAACCGCUUUUAUUUAACCAUUUUUAGUAUUUAUGGAAUAUGUUUGAAUAAGCCGCGAUGUCGCGCACUCAUUUGUUUUUGUAAAAACUGCGAAUCCAUCACGUGAAAUGCACCCACGAUUUACAACAUGUUUAUUUUAUUAUUAUCUGAUGUUAUGGUCGAGUCAUGUGAAACGCACACUCGAAUUAGGAUUUUGUAUCAUGACUAUGCCACGGGAACCGUACCCAUAGUCACGAUGAUUUAUUAAUUGCGCAUAAAUCAAGCUUGAUGUUCAUGAAUAAUUAUUAUUCCUAUGUUUAAGAUCGAUCAUGAAGGUCCAAAGUUUAUGGAAAAGCAUAUGGCAAUGCUUAACUAGACAACUUCAAUUAUUUAACAAGUUCAAAUUAAUGUCUUUUGUUUUUCCUUCAAAUGUUGAUGGAGCUCACGUCAAACAAGGAAAACCACUAAUAAUAAACUAAGUGGGUGUUCUUUUCUUGAUUACUUAUAUCAAACAUGGAUUAUUGCUAGAAAAAUUAUGGGAAGCCUCACUGCGCUGGGCCUUCAUAUUAAACCUCCAAUUAGGUCAUGCAAACAAGAACAGAAAUGGGUUCACUGGAAUCCGAAAGUGACUCUUGAAAAUGGCUAGCCCUUUAAGUAGGCCAACAAAUCUUUUGUGGGGCCUUAAACCAUUAAUCCAUACAUUUGUCGAGUCCAAACUGACUCUCAUUUCAUACACGAUCCAUCGACGUGUAGUUUUCUUAACGUGAUUUUGAAAGGCAUAAAUCAAUUAAUACACAUGUUUAUACUACAACAUAUUCAAUAUAUUGAAGAAACAGAACCAAAGAAGAACGUAUCCACACAUGUAAUUUCUUCUAACAAACUACAGUAUCAUUCAUUAUUACAUUCACAAUUACCAAGAUCUAGAGCAUAUAACAAAUUUACAUGCUUUCAGUUCCAUAUGACCUUCAACGAAUGACCUUCAGCUAUCCAAAUUUCCUAUGACUUUACCUGUUUCUCAUUAAAGAUUUAUCCAAAUACUUAAUUUUUCUAGUAAUUUCAGAGAUUAAAAAAGGAAAGAACUUCAAAUAGAUUUAGACUUUAGACAUGUUGAAUCCAAACUAUUGAACAUGAUUAGAGAAAGCAGUAUCAUAAUCUUAACAUGGAAACAAUUCAAAAUGCUUAACAACUACACAUGCUAAGUCUAUGCAUUUGGACAUAAUUAUGACAAAUAGAUCGAAUUUUCUCAUAUAGACUUCAAACAGGGGCAACAGAUAUGUGAACAUACCUAAGUAACCAAAGAAUAACAGAGAAUGGUCAAAGGAUGGUUUGAAAAUGAAAUAGGAAAUCCAGCAAGUCCAGCAGCAGUGGAUUCAAUAACUUCAACACCUCUAACAGCUCAAUCGACUCAGAGAAAACCAGAAAAUAUAGUGAUUGAAUAGAAAUCAGAAAACCAACUCUAGACAUCCUUCUUCAUCCCUUUUUAUGACCUUUUUCCUUGCCUUUUUGGGAGUUUUAAACUUUUUCUAAAUCUGAAGACUAGAGGUUGAAAUCCAGAGUUUUGUUUGAAUUAAAAAAAAUGAGGAGAAGAUAGUGAAUUCUCUUAAAAUUUCUCUCGACAGUGUGAAAAUUUGUCUCAAAAACGAAGAAAAGAGUAUGAAUUUCAGAGUGUGUUUUCGUGUGUGUGAGUGAGUAAUAUAUGGCCCUCUUAUAUAGAGUGUGAGAAUAUGUUAUGUGCACACAAAAAUUAGAGAAUAA